UACGAAGGGGGCGAGCGUUGUUCGGAAUUACUGGGCGUAAAGGGCGCGUAGGCGGCCAUCUUUGUCGGGUGUGAAAGCCCUGGGCUCAACCCAGGAAUUGCACUUGGGACGGGGUGGCUAGAGUUCGGGAGAGGAGAGUGGAAUUCCCAGUGUAGAGGUGAAAUUCGUAGAUAUUGGGAAGAACACCGGUGGCGAAGGCGGCUAUCUGGACCGUAACUGACGCUGAGGCGCGAAAGCGUGGGGAGCAAACAGG
Molecule: ribosomal RNA, 253 nt
Filed under: uncultured bacterium
Lineage: Bacteria
Description: partial 16S ribosomal RNA
Rfam family: Bacterial small subunit ribosomal RNA
Source: RNAcentral